Molecule: ribosomal RNA, 299 nt
Filed under: uncultured microorganism
Description: partial 16S ribosomal RNA
Rfam family: Bacterial small subunit ribosomal RNA
Source: RNAcentral
GUGCCAGCAGCCGCGGUAAUACGAAGGGUGCAAAGCGUCGUUACUCGGAAUUACUGGGGCGUAAAGCGUGCGUAGGUGGUUGUUUAAGUCUGUUGUGAAAAGCCCUGGGCUCAACCUGGGAACUGCAGUGGAAACUGGACGACUAAGAGUGUGGUAGAGGGUAGCGGAAUUCCUGGUGUAGCAGUGAAAUGCGUAGAGAUCAGGAGGAACAUCCAUGGCGAAGGCAGCUACCUGGACCAACACUGACACUGAGGCACGAAAGCGUGGGGAGCAAACAGGAUUAGAUACCCUGGUAGUCC